CCUCCCAGUUAGUUAGGUGGGUGUGCAUGUCAGGGGCUGUAAGAAGUUGUACUGUUGGAGAGACUGAACUGUACACACCAUAUCAAUCACAAGGAAGGAGGCCCUGAGUUGCUGUGGACUUUCUCUUUAAUACAUCUCUUCUGAAUCCUCACUCAUUCUAUGUCUCCAUUCUCCUAUUAAAUAGUGCCCAUUCUUAUUAUGCUUCUCCUGGCUGAAAGGACCACAACAGAUGUUGGUGCUGGUGUAGAGUUAUCAGUCUUUGGGGAAGAGACUCUAGAACAACACAAUUUUCUCUCUUCCUUUGCAUGUUAGAAGUACAGUGUUUGCAAGAUUAUUUGAGUUAAGCGGAAGGAGAUCCCCUGUCCUAAUUAAAUAUGUCUCAUGUGUCCUGUUGAUUCUGAACCCAAGAGGCUGGCACUUCAUCUGAAGACAAUGAAAAGGUUCCUGUUCAACUUCAAUGGGCUUUGGAACAGACCCUAGCAGACUGACCCAGAUAAGAGAAGGUACAAUGGAAAAUCCAGCAGAGGGAGUCAUUUUAAAAAGAAAAGUUAUUAACAAACUUCUUAUGGGAAUUGUGAAAUAAGUGAGUCUUUAGGAGUUUAUUUGAAUGUGAAUGGGUAGGGCACUUGGUCAACUAGGAUUCACUAACAUUUGAAAUGUGUUUGAAAUAUUUUUCUUUAAAAAAUAGAAACUGUAAAAAAACAUAUUCCUAUAAGAGAGCAAAGGACAGUUUGUUGCAGAUACAUGUUCUAAACCACUCAGGACUAGAUUCUCUUCUGUACAGACAUCUGAUAGGGUGGGGGGUUAGUGGGUGGGGGACUUGAGGAUUGGAGUGUCAUUAGGGAGCCAGUUCUGGCAUCUUGAUUCUGGUACCACAGCUACUCUGACUCCAAUGUAUCUUAAAGAAACAUACACCAGUUGAGGAUUCAUGGAACUCAGAUGUACUCCACCCCACCCCCCCUCAUGCUCCCUCCCUCCCAUGACAUGUCCUCUAUGGGUGGGUGGCUGCCCUCCCUUACCUCUUCAUGCUAGCUAAGCGUUGUCCCACCAAGUGGAUUCUCAGCUGAGCAGCUGAGGCCCUUUGCACUACUAAGGCAGAGGUGUAGUUUGACUUCUAUAUUUGGGGGGGUGGCAGUUCCAGUCAGACCAACGGGCUACAUAUGGAGGAGGUAAAUUCCACACCUGCCCAAGGCUUGUAGUUUGGGGGGACAACGCUCCCCCUGCUCCCCUCCAUCAAAGUACACCCAUGUGGUGGAGCAGAGGAGUUAGGCACAGCAGAGAAAACCUGGUGUGACAGGGGCCCUGUGUCGAGCUAGGGUGCCCCCGUUGGCCCAGUGUGGCAUUGGUGUACCUUACCCCAUCAUUGGGAUCCCCCCAUUAAGCAGGUGAUUUCGGCCAAGUGGGUCCCAGCCCCCUGACAGUCACUUAGACAUAUAGUCCGUAGUCUCUGGGCUAUAUAGUCGGUAGCCCUGUGGCCUCUUGGCUGGGGCAAAAUGAACAACCGGUCUAGAGCCCUGCAGUCUCCAGGCUGAGCAGGCAGGAACACUCUGGGAAUUAGUCCCCUGGGAGGGCAAAGCAGCGAGCAGGCUGCAGCCCCUGGGCAGAGCAAAGCAAGCAAACAGUCUGUGGCCUGCAGCCUCCUGGCUGGGGCAGGCAGUUGCCCUGGGGGAAAUUAGCCCUCUGGGCAGGGAAAAAUAUCAAUCAGUCCAUGGCCCCUGGCAAAGCAAACAAACAGUCUAUAGGCCUUACUACUCUCUUGGCUGAGAUGUAGAACAGGCAGCAGCUUCCAUAGCGGGUGGUGACUUGGCUUCCCAGGUAGUCUCUGCAGUUGGUGAGUCACCUGGCGCGUAGUUUGGGUCUUCGGGCUCUACCGCCAGGCGAGUCGCAGGAACCUGCAGGGUACGUCCUUCCUCCUCCGUCGCCCACCCUGACUGAGCUGGGCUGCCUCCUUUUAUCUGGCUUCUCCACCUGGAGCAUGUGCAGCAGGAGAAAGGGGCCCACAAUGAUUGAUCCGCCCCCAGUGGCCCAGUGCAGGGCUGGUACAUCCCGUCCCACCUGGCUACAGAUGUUCUGUUUUAAAAGCAAUAAUUAAGAUGACUAGAAAAUUAGAAAAUCAUCCAAAUCCAGGGGGCCAGGAGACAUGCAACAGUAGAGGGAUUCCAUCUUUUACAUGGUUUCACUGUUUGCACUUGUUAAUGCACUGUUUGUUGUUUGUUUGUUUGUUUGUUUGUAGGUUCUGUUGUUACUUGUGUGUUAAUGUGGUAAUGGCAGUUGACUUGCAUGGCAACAGGUGAAUGUUGUACUUGUUUAUAAAUACAGCUUUUUAUUUUA
Molecule: long non-coding RNA, 2331 nt
Organism: Mauremys reevesii (Reeves's turtle)
Lineage: Eukaryota; Metazoa; Chordata; Testudines; Geoemydidae
Exons: 5
Source: RefSeq, a predicted model, not a curated record